This 460-nucleotide ribosomal RNA is filed under the name uncultured bacterium. RNAcentral's name for it is "partial 16S ribosomal RNA". It matches the Rfam family "Bacterial small subunit ribosomal RNA", at positions 338 to 795 of the family's 1533-position model. The record is from RNAcentral.
CCUACGGGAGGCUGCCGUGAGGAAUAUUGGUCAAUGGGCGUAAGCCUGAACCAGCCAAGUCGCGUGAGGGAUGAAGGUUCUAUGGAUCGUAAACCUCUUUUAUAAGGGAAUAAAGUGUGGGACGUGUCCUAUUUUGUAUGUACCUUAUGAAUAAGGAUCGGCUAACUCCGUGCCAGCAGCCGCGGUAAUACGGAGGAUCCGAGCGUUAUCCGGAUUUAUUGGGUUUAAAGGGUGCGUAGGCGGCCUUUUAAGUCAGCGGUGAAAGUCUGUGGCUCAACCAUAGAAUUGCCGUUGAAACUGGGGGGCUUGAGUAUGUUUGAGGCAGGCGGAAUGCGUGGUGUAGCGGUGAAAUGCUUAGAUAUCACGCAGAACCCCGAUUGCGAAGGCGGCCUGCUGGGCUUUUACUGACGCUGAGGCUCGAAAGUGUGGGGAGCAAACAGGAUUAGAUACCCCUGUAGUC